AUAAAAUUUUAUUCUAGUUUAUUAGAUAAAUAUUUGUAAUUAUUUUAUAUGUAAAUUUUUGUAAUUAAUAAUAUUAAUUUUAAAUAAGUUUUAUUAAAUUUUUUAUUUGCAGUAUAUAAUAUUAUAAAUAUAAGAAAUUAUGAAUUAAAUAUAUAAUUUAAUAUUAACAAAAUUUGUGCCAGCAGUUGCGGUUAUACAAAUAAUAUAAUUUAUUAUUAUUAGUUAAUAAUUAAAUGGAUUAAAAAUAAUUUUAAAUAGUAAUUUAUUAAGUGAAAUUUUAAUUUGCUAAUAAUAUUAAUAAAAAUUUUUGAAGUUAUUAAAUUUUAUAAAAAACUAGGAUUAGAUACCCUAUUAUUAAAAUGUAAAAUUUUAUAUUAAAUUAUUAAUAGAUAUAUUCUUUAAAAUUAAAGAUUUUGGCGGUAUUUUAAUCUAUUCAGAGGAACCUGUUCUGUAAUUGAUAAUCCACGAUUAGAAGUACUUAUUUUAAAAAUUUAUAUAUCGUCGUAGUUGAAUAUUUUAUUAGAUUUUAAAUAUUCUUAAUAUAUUUUUUAAAAUAAAUCAGAUCAAGGUGUAGUUUAUAAAUAAGAUGAAAUGGGUUACAAUAAAUUAUAUUUUAUGGAUAAAAAUUUUAAAUAAUUUUUUGAAAUUGGAUUUGAGUGUAAUUUUAUUUAUUUUGGUAAAAUGAUUAUAGUUCUAAAAUAUGCACAUAUCGUCCGUCGCUCUCAAUUAUUUUGAGAUAAGUCGUAACAAAGUAAAUGUACUGGAAAGUGUAUUUAGAUAGCA
RNAcentral lists this non-coding RNA (783 nucleotides) under Staphylinidae sp. BMNH 1274245. The record is from RNAcentral. Lineage: Eukaryota; Metazoa; Arthropoda; Insecta; Coleoptera; Staphylinidae.